GUAGUACUCCCUCCGUCCGAAAAUACUUGUCAUCAAAAUGCAAAAAGGGAUGUAUCUAAAACUAAAAUACAUCUAGAUACAUUCCCUUUUAUUCAUUUUGAUGACAAGUAUUUCCGGACGGAGGGAGUACUCA
Triticum aestivum (bread wheat) is the source of this 133-nucleotide non-coding RNA. NCBI's taxonomy places the organism in Eukaryota, Viridiplantae, Streptophyta, Magnoliopsida, Poales, Poaceae. The record is from Rfam.